RNAcentral lists this ribosomal RNA (265 nucleotides) under uncultured bacterium. RNAcentral's name for it is "partial 16S ribosomal RNA". It matches the Rfam family "Bacterial small subunit ribosomal RNA", at positions 793 to 1055 of the family's 1533-position model. The record is from RNAcentral.
AUCCUAGCUGUAAACGAUGGGUACUAGGUGUUGGGGUAUCGACCCCUCCAGUGCCGGAGUUAACGCAAUAAGUACCCCGCCUGGGGAGUACGGCCGCAAGGUUGAAACUCAAAGGAAUUGACGGGGGCCCGCACAAGCGGUGGAGUAUGUGGUUUAAUUCGACGCAACGCGAAGAACCUUACCAGGACUUUACAUCGUAUGAUGACUCUAGAGAUAGAGAGUUCUCUUUCGGGAGACAUAUAGACAGGUGGUGCAUGGCUGUCGU